RNAcentral lists this long non-coding RNA (2656 nucleotides) under Castor canadensis (American beaver). RNAcentral's name for it is "lncRNA (ENSCCNG00000027294.1)". The record is from RNAcentral. Lineage: Eukaryota; Metazoa; Chordata; Mammalia; Rodentia; Castoridae.
UGGGAGUCCUGCCAAGAUGCUUUCUCUUCAGGAUGACAUGGGCACUGCUGCCACUGUACCUGAGCUGCAUGGACGGCAGGAGUCUGCUUCCAAAGCGGCUUGCUGACCCCGAAGGUUUUCAGUGUCAUUUGCAAGUUCUCUGAGCUCUUGGAGGUAUUCAAAUGCUUGCACACAGUCACCAGGCAGAAUAAGAAAAGAUGAAGUGUGAGGGGCAGAAGCAGGUGACUGCCAUUCAGAAAGAAAGCUACACCGGAUGCAUCAAAUGGGCCUCGCUCUCAGACUGCAAAGGAAGGAGGAGAACAAUUUCCUUCAUCUCUGUGUUAUUUCUGCAAGAACCGCUCAAGUGUGGAAUUCAGGACAGGGGUUUACUGAGUUAACCCAGUUUUCGGAGAUUUUUCUCAAGAGGAAGGUGUACAUCAUGUGAAGGUUGAAUCUUGCUGGGAUUUUCUGCUUCUCCAGCCAGCAUGGAGGGUUGUGCUCUCAUCCCCACGUGAGCUCCAGGCACCAGCACAACCUUCGCAGUAGCGUGACGUCUCCGAAGACCCCAGCUCCAAGCUGCGUGGUGACAACCUGGGAGCAGUUGUCGAUGACGAGGGAAGUGGCCAGUUCCAGACAAAGAAAUCGAGCAAUCGAAACGAACACUCAAGUGUUUUAACUCAGUGAUCUUUCCCCUGCCGACAGGGAGCACAAAAGAAAAGGCAGCCAAGUUCAACGCCAGCAGCCUUUGUUGCCGUUUUCUUGCUGAAACCUUGGCUUUCUUGGCGGUGGUUCACCUGCGAGUCAGUUCCCCGGCACAUUUAUGGUUAUUGUAUUUUACAGGUUGAUAGAUUUUUAUAUUCUGUCCAAGCCAGGAUCUUACACCACCUGGUUUAUUAUUUAGUAAUUUACAGUGCAGUCAGGCAUGUUUGCCUUAAUGUAGGAUAAACUUAUAAAUCUAUUGUUCGUUCAGUUGCCGCCGCUGGUGUGCAGUGAACUACAGAGCUGACUGCGUACAUACAUUUCAGCUCUGCUUUUCUCUUUGAUACGGAAGCAGGCAAUAGAUAACACAGUGACAGUAGCAUCCCAGGGGACAGCCGAAUGUGAGAGCAGCACCACGUCAGGUUAGUAGGUCAUUAUUGUACGAGCCGUGAACCAUUAAUGGACUGCUACGCCCAGCUCAAUCUGUGUCAGAUUAUGGCUUGGCAGGAGAAUUGUAAUCUAAUAGCUAACUUUGCUUCCUCACGGUCAUCCUAUUAGUUCCUCUGAUAGAAAUGUGCACAGGUAUGUAUUAAUAGGGGACUUCAUUGGGGAAAGGCAAGAUCUGGGAUCCCCUGUCACCCCCAUCUCUGGAAAUGAUGCUUCUAUGCUGAUUGAGCUGGGUAGUUCUGAUGGAAUAGAGUUCUUUCUCAGGCUUGUUUUGACCUCUUAUAAAACAGAUAGCAAACAUGUAGUGUUAAUUACUGCAGAGUCUCCAGUAUUAAUAUAUCGUGUUGAUCAUGUAAAAUGAAAUAGUGGCAGGGAAGGAGAAGGUAGGGAGGCUUUACCUUCUAGUGCCACCCUAAGUCUGCAGAUGAGAACACUGACAUACUUUUAAAUUCUGGCAAUUAAGACCACCUUUCUCCAAGUAAUACCAGAAAAAAAGCACUGACUGUGUGAUAUUAUGUAAUUUUUAUUAUUUGUAAAACAGAGAAGAAAAACAUUGUUGUGGUGUGAUUUCAGAUAAAAGAUGCAUUUUUAGGAAGUGUAGGAAGUACCUGGCUUUUGAGUUACAGUGGUAAGAAGUUUAUAGUGUAUAUUUGGGGCAUCUAUUUAAGAAGUAGGAUCAGGGCAGUUUGUUUUUCUUUCUAAGCCCAUUUGCCUCUGCUUCAGGGUGCAUCCCCACACAGAAUUAAUGAAAUGAAUAGUUUCAAGAUUUUUUCCAGCAUGGACGAGCGUUUGGUGAGUUUAGACUGAGAUUACCACCUUAAAUGUCUACCUGUGAUUUUGCAAAUCAUUUGUGGAGAUUCUCUGUGAUGUCAAGAACAUGAAAGGCUAUCCAUGAAAAUGCUAGAGAAAUUCUUUUAGCCAGGUGGGUAGGUAGCAGAUUAGCAGGGUGAUGGUGCAGAGGGAAGAUAGGAGUGGGGGAGACGCAGCCAUGUGUGGACUCAGACCGUGAUCAGUGCUGCCACUGGCCCUUCAUGACACAUGGCUGGCCUGGGCCGACGAGCAGCCCAGGUGGCCACAGCUGGUUUGUUGCCCCCUCUGGCUUGUACACUUGACACUUCCCAGCAGCAGUGGCUGAAGGAGACCAUGUUUUCAGCUUGCUGAGAAUCCUGAGGGCAUGGAGUGUGCUUGGCAAGGUGGUCAAGGUAGGUCUUUGGUCAAGGUAGGUCUUAACAGUACUGCUUGGUAAAAUGGCCUGGUUUGAAAAACACCUACAUAAUAAUUAAUACCCAAAUCCGUUUGAAUCCAAAGCCAGUUAUUCGUCUUGAGUGCAUUGUGCAUGAUAUGUGUUCAUAUUUUAUGCAAAGGAUAGGUUCACCCUCCCCUUCCCACAAACAGACACUAGCCAGGGAAGCUGGAUUCACCUGCAUUUCUGUACUGGCCUAUGACCUGGCUCUGGGGUCUCCCUCCACUUCCUUCUGACUCAACCAUGGAUUUGAGUUUAAUAAAAUGUGGAGCAUUGUGAAAAAUUACA